CCUCGGAUCAGGUAGGAAUACCCGCUGAACUUAAGCAUAUCAAUAAGCGGAGGAAAAGAAACCAACAGGGAUUGCCUCAGUAACGGCGAGUGAAGCGGCAACAGCUCAAAUUUGAAAUCUGGCCCCCAGGCCCGAGUUGUAAUUUGUAGAGGAUGAUUCUGGCGACGCGCCUUCCGAGUUCCCUGGAACGGGACGCCAAAGAGGGUGAGAGCCCCGUCCGGUCGUGCGCCUAGCCUAUGUGAAUCUCCUUCGACGAGUCGAGUAGUUUGGGAAUGCUGCUCUAAAUGGGAGGUAUACGUCUUCUAAAGCUAAAUACCGGCCAGAGACCGAUAGCGCACAAGUAGAGUGAUCGAAAGAUGAAAAGCACUUUGAAAAGAGGGUUAAAUAGUACGUGAAAUUGCUGAAAGGGAAGCGCUUAUGACCAGACUUGGGCUAGGUGAAUCAUCCGGCGUUCUCGCCGGUGCACUUUGCCUGUCCAGGCCAGCAUCAGUUCGCUUCGGGGGAUAAAGGCUUCGGGAAUGUAGCUCCUUCGGGAGUGUUAUAGACCGUUGGGAAAUACCCUGGGGUG
This 568-nucleotide ribosomal RNA is filed under the name Geosmithia sp. MK745. Its description in RNAcentral is "eukaryotic LSU rRNA". It matches the Rfam family "Eukaryotic large subunit ribosomal RNA", at positions 1 to 583 of the family's 3401-position model. The record is from RNAcentral. Lineage: Eukaryota; Fungi; Ascomycota; Sordariomycetes; Hypocreales; Bionectriaceae.